This is a non-coding RNA of Zopfochytrium polystomum, 85 nucleotides long. The record is from the annotation of a GenBank genome assembly. NCBI's taxonomy places the organism in Eukaryota, Fungi, Chytridiomycota, Chytridiomycetes, Chytridiales, Chytridiaceae.
GCCCCUGUCGUCCAAUGGCUAGGACAUCACCACCUCAAACAAACAAAUCUCGGUGAAGAUCGGCGUUCAAAUCGUCGUAGGGGCG